This 206-nucleotide ribosomal RNA is filed under the name uncultured Aminivibrio sp. RNAcentral's name for it is "partial 16S ribosomal RNA". It matches the Rfam family "Bacterial small subunit ribosomal RNA", at positions 568 to 774 of the family's 1533-position model. Lineage: Bacteria; Thermotogati; Synergistota; Synergistia; Synergistales; Aminobacteriaceae. The record is from RNAcentral.
CGCGCAGGCUGUGCUGCAAGUCAGCUGUGAAAUGUCUGGGCUUAACCCGGGCAUGCGGUUGAGACUGCAGUGCUGGAGUGCUGUAGAGGCAAGUGGAAUUCCCAGUAUAGCGGUGAAAUGCGUAGAUAUUGGGAAGAACACCGGUGGCGAAGGCGACUUGCUGGGCAGCAACUGACGCUGAGGCGCGAAAGCCAGGGGAGCAAACG